This 81-nucleotide antisense RNA is filed under the name Vibrio marisflavi. RNAcentral describes it as "AsdA". It matches the Rfam family "antisense RNA of dnaA mRNA". Lineage: Bacteria; Pseudomonadati; Pseudomonadota; Gammaproteobacteria; Vibrionales; Vibrionaceae. The record is from RNAcentral.
UUUCGCAUUUGGCUUGUUAUCAACAAUCGCAUUACCGACCGCGUGCAAUAAGUGCGUUUUACCUAAGCCCGUACCACCAUA